GUAGGGUGCAGGCGUUAAUCGGAAUUACUGGGCGUAAAGCGUGCGCAGGCGGUUUCUUAAGUCAGAUGUGAAAGCCCCGGGCUUAACCUGGGAACUGCGCUUGAAACUGGGAGACUUGAGUGUGGCAGAGGGGGGUGGAAUUCCACGUGUAGCAGUGAAAUGCGUAGAUAUGUGGAGGAACACCGAUGGCGAAGGCAGCCCCCUGGGUUAACACUGACGCUCAUGCACGAAAGCGUGGGGAGCAAACAGGAUUAGAUACCCUGGUAGUCCACGCCCUAAACUAUGUCAACUGGUUGUCGGGGGAUUAACUCCCUUGGUAACGAAGCUAACGCGUGAAGUUGACCGCCUGGGGAGUACGGCCGCAAGGUUA
Molecule: ribosomal RNA, 370 nt
Filed under: uncultured bacterium
Lineage: Bacteria
Description: bacterial SSU rRNA
Rfam family: Bacterial small subunit ribosomal RNA
Source: RNAcentral